GGGGAUGCGUGGUUUCGACAGGGCAGGCAGACGGACCACCGCGAGCCGAGGAACGCCGUUCCUCCUCGUAAAUCCGAACGGCAGGCAGACAACUGCCAACAACUCUUACGCUCUCGCUGCCUAGUCAGUGAGACGCCCUCCCGGUCUCCGCUCCGCGGGCCGGGGAUGGGCGCUAUAAGCGGAGCUGCGGCCCGCCGAUCGGUCGGUAGGCGGGAGUAAGUGAACCGACCUGGCGAGAACGGGGAGCGUGUCGGUGCGCGCCUCGUUCCGCGAGAUCAAAAUCGCCGACUACGCUCGUAGACGCGAUCCGCGCGCAGGCCUUGGACGGGGAGUUCGACCCUCCCCCAUCUCCACAG
This 356-nucleotide transfer-messenger RNA is filed under the name Chloroflexota (GNS bacteria). Its description in RNAcentral is "3-1-20CM-2-70-9 sp005889445 Standard tmRNA". It matches the Rfam family "transfer-messenger RNA". Rfam says of the family: Bacterial tmRNA, also known as 10Sa RNA or SsrA, is named for its dual tRNA and mRNA-like properties. Its role is to liberate the mRNA from a stalled ribosome. Lineage: Bacteria; Bacillati. RNAcentral also lists the same sequence under 1 other name. The record is from RNAcentral.